Molecule: transfer RNA, 62 nt
Filed under: Proisotoma minuta
Lineage: Eukaryota; Metazoa; Arthropoda; Collembola; Entomobryomorpha; Isotomidae
Description: tRNA-Leu
Source: RNAcentral
UCUAAUAUGGCAGAUUAGUGCAAUGAGCUUAAAAUUCAAACAUGAAUUUAAUUCUUUUAGAA